This 422-nucleotide ribosomal RNA is filed under the name uncultured bacterium. RNAcentral describes it as "bacterial SSU rRNA". It matches the Rfam family "Bacterial small subunit ribosomal RNA", at positions 355 to 774 of the family's 1533-position model. The record is from RNAcentral.
UGAGGAAUAUUGGGCAAUGCCCGCAAGGGUGACCCAGCAACGCCGCGUGGAGGAUGAAUGUCGUAAGAUUGUAAACUCCUGUUAGAGGGGAAGAAUAGUACCGGUUGGACCGGUAUAUGACUGUACCCUCAGAGAAAGCCCCGGCUAACUACGUGCCAGCAGCCGCGGUAAUACGUAGGGGGCAAGCGUUGUCCGGAUUUACUGGGUGUAAAGGGCGCGCAGGCGGGAUAAAAAGUCAGUGGUGAAAUCCUACAGCUUAACUGUAGAACUGCCUUUGAUACUUUUAUUCUUGAGUUCGGGAGAGAGAGACGGAAUUCCAGGUGUAGUGGUGAAAUACGUAGAUAUCUGAAAGAACACCAGUUGCGAAGGCGGUCUCUUGGUCCGACACUGACGCUGAGGCGCGAAGGCGUGGGGAGCAAACA